Non-coding RNA from Odocoileus virginianus texanus, 672 nucleotides. NCBI's taxonomy places the organism in Eukaryota, Metazoa, Chordata, Mammalia, Artiodactyla, Cervidae. The record is from RefSeq and is a predicted model, not a curated record.
CACAUAUCAAGUUGAGAGGAGCAUGUAUUUCUCCUCCCCCUGAAUGUAGGGUGGCUUUUCAGCAACAGAGUGCAGAAAAGGAGGCGUUAAGAGACCACUAGCUUCUCUACCCUUGAAAUGUUCAUGUUUAGGGUAUUCCCUUUCAGAAACCGGACACAUUGAGAGGUCACAUGGAGGAAAACUUAUGAGAUCUGCUUGCCAGCAGUUCUCAGCCAACAGCGAGCAACAGCUGUCAGCCAUGUGAAGGAGCGCAUUGGAUGCUAUAGCCCACUCAAGUUCUCAGCCGACUACAGCCCUAGUUGACGCUUUGACGCCAUGUGAACAAACCAUCCAGCUGAGUCCAAUCAACUCACAGAAUGAUUAAACCCUAAGGACCAAGUCUGCCACACGACUUUCAAGAAGUUACUCAGUGAAGUGGAAGUAUGGUCAGUGACACGCAAAAGACGAACACUCGGGAAAAAAAGAAGCUGUGUUUCCUGGACAUGAAGAGGCCUGUUCCGGCCUCUUGGAGAGAGAAGCCCGGGCUUCUGCAGAGCAGCCCAGCGGUGACGUCACAACCUAGCCCCGCCCCUCCGCCUCCGGCAACGCUGGACCCGCGGAGCACACUCCCGGUCCCAGGCACGAUUAGCAAAACCUCCAGCGCAGCUGUGCACCGAGGGUGACCAAUUGAAA